CUGUCCAGGUGGUUGGGAUGUG
RNAcentral lists this microRNA (22 nucleotides) under Melibe leonina. RNAcentral describes it as "mle-miR-2a-5p". Its record names the gene mle-miR-2a-5p. The record is from miRBase by way of RNAcentral. Lineage: Eukaryota; Metazoa; Mollusca; Gastropoda; Nudibranchia; Dendronotidae.